CGCGUAGGCGGUUUGUUAAGUGGGAUGUGAAAUCCCCGGGCUUAACCUGGGAAUUGCAUUUCAAACUGGCCGACUAGAGUACGGUAGAGGGAGGUAGAAUUUCCUGUGUAGCGGUGAAAUGCGUAGAUAUAGGAAGGAAUACCAGUGGCGAAGGCGGCCUCCUGGAUCGAUACUGACGCUGAGGCGCGAAAGCGUGGGGAGCAAACA
This 207-nucleotide ribosomal RNA is filed under the name uncultured bacterium. RNAcentral's name for it is "partial 16S ribosomal RNA". It matches the Rfam family "Bacterial small subunit ribosomal RNA", at positions 568 to 774 of the family's 1533-position model. The record is from RNAcentral.